Long non-coding RNA from Lemur catta (Ring-tailed lemur), 1251 nucleotides. RefSeq lists it as uncharacterized. The transcript is spliced from 3 exons. The record is from RefSeq and is a predicted model, not a curated record. NCBI's taxonomy places the organism in Eukaryota, Metazoa, Chordata, Mammalia, Primates, Lemuridae.
CUUGGCCUCCCAGAGUGCUAGGAUUACAGGGGCCGUCAUUCUGUGUCCCACAAGGCAUCACCUGAUGUUGAGGAAGAUAUGACCAGCUCAGGAUUUACCAACACUAUGGUAAUGGGAAUUCAACGUGCAUGAGGUCAUAUUAUGUUUAUGAGUGCACAAGAAGGUAUUUCACCCCUCUGUAAGCAUCUAAGUUCAAGGUAGGUAGUGUUCCCUCUUAUCCUCUGUCGAGAAACAGUGUGAAUAUUUUUGUGUUUGUGCAUGAGCAAAACUUCCUGGCAAAGUACGAGUGAAUGGCAAACAAGCCUUGGAAAUUAAAGAUAGUUUAUAACCCCAGAGAGAUUUGGAGAUUUAUCUCUCCUGGAGCUAUUAUUUGUUUACUUUCAGAGGGUUGUAAACACCUAGGAACUUUCCCCUUCUCUUCCCACAGAGGAUUUGUUUACAUUAGAGACCAAAGGUCUCUGUCCCUCUUUGCAGAGGGGCAGGUGGCAGCUGUGAAACACUUCCUGUGUAAACUCUGAGGUUCAGAAUUUCUGGGGUCCCCUCUUGGAGGACAGACUCCCUCUGUACAUGCAAGGUGAACAUCUGCCCUCGUCACAUCACCACAAGGGGGUACAUGGAGCAUGGGGAACCAGUAAUGUUAUUGCCGUAAGUAAAUAAUUGGUCUGAUCUCUGAUCCAGAAACCAUGUGUUUGCUAUCAAGAUAAAAUAAGCACAGAUAGAUACUAAAACUUAUCAUGCCCUGAGUGGGCAGGGAGUGAGGGACUGCUUUAUGCUUUGGUCAUCCUUACAGGAAAGCUCUAGCACUUUGAGGUUCCAGCUUUGUACAGGGUCUCCUCUAUUAAACUCCCCACUUUAGGCUUUUUCUCCUUUUCCCCCCUCACCCUUCCACGUUGUGAACAGGAAGCUCAAGAUGACCAUAGUUUGGUGUGUGCCCUCAGGGUAAAAACCACAUUAAGCAGUGUUCAAGUUUUGAGUUCUUGCUAUCACUUUGGUUUUUGUUAAUUAGUCUGGGUAUUUUUUACUAGCAACUUUAUUGCUGUAUAAUUGAAGUACUAUAAGCUGUACAUAUUUGAUCAAUUUUGGCAAUAUACACUCAUGAAGCCAUCCCUAUAAUGAAGAUAGUGAAUACUCCCAUGGCUCCAGAAGCUUCCCCCAUCCCACUGUAACAUAUUUCUCCAUCUACCUCCAUCCUCAGGUGACACUGACCUACUUCCUACCACUGUGGAUUUGUUUGCAGUUUCCAGAAUUUUA